CCGCAGAAAGGCAGAGAGCUCCCCUCCUCCCCAAAAAAAGCGAGACGACGAGACGAGACGGCGCGCGAGAGGGGAGGGGACGACAACGCGACACCGGCCAAGCAAGCCCUAGGGCGGCGCGACGAACGGUCGUGGCGGCGAAGGCAUCUCGUGCUCUUGUCUUUGCGUGCCCGGAUUCGGUUUCAUCGGAUCGAGUCUCGGCUCGGCCAUGUCGACCAAGAGGGUUCUUUGCAAGUUCUUCGUUCAUGGAGCUUGCUUGAAAGGAGAGUACUGUGAGUUCUCCCAUGACUGGAGGGACCAAGCAAAUAAUGUUUGCACGUUUUACCAGAAAGGCUCAUGCUCAUAUGGUAGUCGUUGCAGAUAUGACCAUGUCAAAGUUUCUCAUAACAACCCAGUGCCUCCGCCACCAUCAUCAAGUACUCCGACACGCAACUCCUCACUGCCUCUGCCACCAUCAAGCACUGUAGCACGUGUCGUGUCUACUUCUCUACAACCUACAAGUGCUGGACGUCCUGUUCAUAUUGGACAUCAAACAAAUCCAAGCAACCAAAGACAACAGAUAUCUAUGGAUAUGCUGGCACAUUCUGAAAGUAAACCUGCAUGGAGGAAUGAUUUCCAACUUGACAGUGUAUCAGAAGAUGGGAUUGACUGGUCAUCCAAUCGAACUGUGCAAAACCAAACAUCCAAGAAACUUGCUGAUAUGCCAAUUUGUUCUUUUGCUGCUGCUGGUAAUUGCCCGUAUGAGGAAGAGUGCCCUAGCAUGCAUGGAGAUUUGUGCACAACCUGUGGGAAAAUGUGCUUGCAUCCUUAUCGUCCUGAUGAAAGAGAGGAACAUAUGAAGCUAUGUGAAAAAAACCACAAGCGUAUUGAGGCUUUGAAACGUAGCCAAGAGAUAGAAUGCAGUGUCUGCUUAGACCGUGUGCUCUCCAAGCCUACAGCUGCAGAAAGGAAAUUUGGACUCUUAUCUGAAUGUGACCAUCCCUUCUGCAUCUCAUGCAUUAGAAAUUGGCGUGGCAAUUCUCCUACGUCUGGUAUGGAUGUGAACUCAGCACUGAGGGCUUGUCCAAUUUGCCGCAAACUAUCGUACUAUGUGAUUCCAAGUGUUCUUUGGUACUUCUCAAAGGAGGAAAAGAUGGAGAUCAUCGACAACUACAAAUCGAAGCUCAAGUCUAUAGAUUGCAAGUACUUUGAUUUUGGAACGGGUACUUGCCCAUUUGGUACAAGCUGUUUCUACAAGCAUGCUUACAGGGAUGGCCGCUUGGAAGAGGUCAUACUGCGACAUCUCGAUGCUGAAGAUGGAACUACACUUAUUGCCAAAAAUAUUAGGUUGUCAGACUUCCUCACUCGGCUGCAUCUUUAGGGACCCGGAUCUGUAUAUAUCACAUGUAAGAUCUUUCAUGGGGCAUUCUGGGACGCUGUCUACCAAUAUUUCCAAUAUUCGGAAGACAUCAGUUUAAAUUGAGGCAUCUUUGAAAACUGCUGCUUUAUAUCCAAUUUAUGGUUGCUUUGUCUCCAAACAUAAGAGAAAUUUUGAAGUUCACUGCGGGACACCUGGAUGACCUUAAUAUAGAAGCACUGUUGAUCCAUGGAACAAACAACGUAAAAGAAGCCUUGUCGCGAGUUUGCUUGGAGAGUCAAAAUACAAGAAUUAGAACUGUUGAAACGCUUUUCUAUCUGCACUUUGUGUUACUUCCCGGGUCACCAGUGAUUCAGUAGAACAAUCCCUGGCCAUUGUGCGAAGGGCAGGUGUAUAAUACCCUCGUUUCCAAACUGCCCUUUCCCAGUCGAGGAAAGCUCCCCGCACCAACAACUCCUUAGCUGAGAGCCUGAGCCCGUUUGUUUGUAUAACUCAAUACACAUAAGAAAAAUAAACAAAGAAUGCAUGUCAUAAUUCAGACUGUUUUCUAA
This is an RNA transcript of Brachypodium distachyon (stiff brome), 1908 nucleotides long. It is a transcript of the gene named E3 ubiquitin-protein ligase makorin, with no coding region annotated. NCBI's taxonomy places the organism in Eukaryota, Viridiplantae, Streptophyta, Magnoliopsida, Poales, Poaceae. The record is from RefSeq and is a predicted model, not a curated record. The transcript is spliced from 8 exons.